This 468-nucleotide ribosomal RNA is filed under the name uncultured bacterium. RNAcentral's name for it is "partial 16S ribosomal RNA". It matches the Rfam family "Bacterial small subunit ribosomal RNA", at positions 28 to 507 of the family's 1533-position model. The record is from RNAcentral.
GACGAACGCUGGCGGCGUGCUUAACACAUGCAAGUCGAACGGAAAGGCCCUGCUUUUGCGGGGUGCUCGAGUGGCGAACGGGUGAGUAACACGUGAGUAACCUGCCCUUGACUUUGGGAUAACUUCAGGAAACUGGGGCUAAUACCGGAUAGGAGCUCCUGCUGCAUGGUGGGGGUUGGAAAGUUUCGGCGGUUGGGGAUGGACUCGCGGCUUAUCAGCUUGUUGGUGGGGUAGUGGCUUACCAAGGCUUUGACGGGUAGCCGGCCUGAGAGGGUGACCGGCCACAUUGGGACUGAGAUACGGCCCAGACUCCUACUGGAGGCAGCAGUGGGGAAUAUUGCACAAUGGGCGGAAGCCUGAUGCAGCAACGCCGCGUGCGGGAUGACGGCCUUCGGGUUGUAAACCGCUUUCGCCUGUGACGAAGCGUGAGUGACGGUAAUGGGUAAAGAAGCACCGGCUAACUACGUG